GCUCCCUUAGGUCAGCGGCGGACGGGUGAGUAACACGUGGGUAACCUGCCUGUAAGACUGGGAUAACUCCGGGAAACCGGGGCUAAUACCGGAUGCUUGAUUGAACCGCAUGGUUCAAUCAUAAAAGGUGGCUUUUAGCUACCACUUACAGAUGGACCCGCGGCGCAUUAGCUAGUUGGUGAGGUAACGGCUCACCAAGGCGACGAUGCGUAGCCGACCUGAGAGGGUGAUCGGCCACACUGGGACUGAGACACGGCCCAGACUCCUACGGGAGGCAGCAGUAGGGAAUCUUCCGCAAUGGACGAAAGUCUGACGGAGCAACGCCGCGUGAGUGAUGAAGGUUUUCGGAUCGUAAAACUCUGUUGUUAGGGAAGAACAAGUACCGUUCGAAUAGGGCGGCACCUUGACGGUACCUAACCAGAAAGCCACGGCUAACUACGUGCCAGCAGCCGCGGUAAUACGUAGGUGGCAAGCGUUGUCCGGAAUUAUUGGGCGUAAAGCGCGCGCAGGCGGUUUCUUAAGUCUGAUGUGAAAGCCCCCGGCUCAACCGGGGAGGGUCAUUGGAAACUGGGGAACUUGAGUGCAGAAGAGGAGAGUGGAAUUCCACGUGUAGCGGUGAAAUGCGUAGAGAUGUGGAGGAACACCAGUGGCGAAGGCGACUCUCUGGUCUGUAACUGACGCUGAGGCGCGAAAGCGUGGGGAGCGAACAGGAUUAGAUACCCUGGUAGUCCACGCCGUAAACGAUGAGUGCUAAGUGUUAGAGGGUUUCCGCCCUUUAGUGCUGCAGCAA
RNAcentral lists this ribosomal RNA (790 nucleotides) under Bacillus licheniformis. RNAcentral's name for it is "bacterial SSU rRNA". It matches the Rfam family "Bacterial small subunit ribosomal RNA", at positions 81 to 854 of the family's 1533-position model. Lineage: Bacteria; Bacillati; Bacillota; Bacilli; Caryophanales; Bacillaceae. The record is from RNAcentral.